Molecule: long non-coding RNA, 752 nt
Filed under: Drosophila guanche
Lineage: Eukaryota; Metazoa; Arthropoda; Insecta; Diptera; Drosophilidae
Source: RNAcentral
AGACUACACACACAUUGAGCCUCAGCUCAUACUUUUAUGCUUAAACUCUUAACCCAGGCACCAGGCACAGACCGCAGAAUGAGCGCACAAUUUCCCACUCUUAUUAGGAGCUCAAAAACUUAACAAAAAUGGUUCCUGUUUAGAUUUCAGUUUAUUGCACUCAAAUACAAGGCUGCAGAUAAUGAAUUGAACAUUGUCUAUUGUCGACUGUUUCUCGAAAAGAAAUUAAAUAAAUUGCAUGGAAAACUAUUGGCAUGAAUCGCUGGCAAGCGAACAAAGAAAGCCGAUUUGCAAUUCACUCAACCUUCCCAGGGUACUCUCUCUGCAUUUGUGUCAACUGGUUUUGUUAUGGAUGUUUGCAUUAGUGAGCAAUAUAUCUUUUUCAAUGGAUGUACUCGCACUCCGGCCUGCCCUGCCCUGCCCCUGCAGUUGUCCGGCAGGGAACAAUGUACGCAUUGCGUCACAGCGAGAGAUACGCCCAUUGUUUGGACUGAAACAAAGCCAAAGCUCUGCGACAUUGUGCCCCUUGUGAGCAUUUCGCUUUGGUCAUAGUUUUAAUCUCACUAAUGGCAGCAACAGCAGCGGUAGGGUCGGUAGGGUCGGUAGGUCGCCAGGGCUUCUAUCUGUGGGCACAAUACACCAGAUUCUCGAGCUCAUGUCAAAAAGGUCGCUCGCUUGCUGCUGACGACAAUUCCAUUUUCCCGCACUCAAAAGACCCACUACACAAAGCCAUCAAAAGCUGAAUAACCUAC